Molecule: ribosomal RNA, 587 nt
Filed under: uncultured bacterium
Lineage: Bacteria
Description: partial 16S ribosomal RNA
Rfam family: Bacterial small subunit ribosomal RNA
Source: RNAcentral
UGGGGAAUUUUGGACAAUGGGCGAAAGCCUGAUCCAGCAAUGCCGCGUGUGUGAAGAAGGCCUUCGGGUUGUAAAGCACUUUUGUCCGGAAAGAAAUCCUUGGCUCUAAUACAGUCGGGGGAUGACGGUACCGGAAGAAUAAGCACCGGCUAACUACGUGCCAGCAGCCGCGGUAAUACGUAGGGUGCAAGCGUUAAUCGGAAUUACUGGGCGUAAAGCGUGCGCAGGCGGUUUGCUAAGACCGAUGUGAAAUCCCCGGGCUCAACCUGGGAACUGCAUUGGUGACUGGCAGGCUAGAGUAUGGCAGAGGGGGGUAGAAUUCCACGUGUAGCAGUGAAAUGCGUAGAGAUGUGGAGGAAUACCGAUGGCGAAGGCAGCCCCCUGGGGCCAAUACUGACGCUCAUGCACGAAAGCGUGGGGGAGCAAACAGGAUUAGAUACCCUGGUAGUCCACGCCCUAAACGAUGUCAACUAGUUGUUGGGGAUUCAUUUCCUUAGUAACGUAGCUAACGCGUGAAGUUGACCGCCUGGGGAGUACGGUCGCAAGAUUAAAACUCAAAUGAAUUGACGGGGUCAUAGCUGUUUCCU